This 467-nucleotide ribosomal RNA is filed under the name uncultured bacterium. RNAcentral describes it as "partial 16S ribosomal RNA". It matches the Rfam family "Bacterial small subunit ribosomal RNA", at positions 28 to 507 of the family's 1533-position model. The record is from RNAcentral.
GACGAACGCUGGCGGUGUGCUUAACACAUGCAAGUCGAACGGAAAGGCCUCUUUCGGGGGGUACUCGAGUGGCGAACGGGUGAGUAACACGUGAGUAACCUGCCCCUGAGUUUGGGAUAACUUCAGGAAACUGGGGCUAAUACCGUAUAGGAGCUCCUGCUGCAUGGUGGGGGUUGGAAAGUUUCGGCGGUUGGGGAGGGAGCCGCGGCUUAUCAGCUUGUUGGUGGGGUAGUGGCUUACCAAGGCUUUGACGGGUAGCCGGCCUGAGAGGGUGACCGGCCACAUUGGGACUGAGAUACGGCCCAGACUCCUACGGGAGGCAGCAGUGGGGAAUAUUGCACAAUGGGUGGAAGCCUGAUGCAGCAAAGCCGUGUGCGGGAAGACGGCCUUCGGGUUGGAACCCGCUUUCGCUCAUGACGAAGCUUUGUGUGACGGUAGUGGGUAAAGAAGCACCGGCUAACUACGUG